UACGGAGGAUGCAAGCGUUAUCCGGAAUGAUUGGGCGUAAAGCGUCCGCAGGUGGCUAUGUAAGUCUGCUGUUAAAGAGUGAGGCUCAACCUCAUAAGAGCAGUGGAAACUACAUGGCUAGAGUGCGUUCGGGGCAGAGGGAAUUCCUGGUGUAGCGGUGAAAUGCGUAGAUAUCAGGAAGAACACCGGUGGCGAAAGCGCUCUGCUGGACCUUAACUGACACUGAGGGACGAAAGCUAGGGGAGCGAAUGGG
This 253-nucleotide ribosomal RNA is filed under the name uncultured bacterium. Its description in RNAcentral is "partial 16S ribosomal RNA". It matches the Rfam family "Bacterial small subunit ribosomal RNA", at positions 524 to 776 of the family's 1533-position model. The record is from RNAcentral.